This 260-nucleotide ribosomal RNA is filed under the name uncultured archaeon. Its description in RNAcentral is "partial 16S ribosomal RNA". It matches the Rfam family "Archaeal small subunit ribosomal RNA", at positions 748 to 1009 of the family's 1478-position model. The record is from RNAcentral.
CAGCCGUAAACUAUGCGCGUUAGGUGUAUCGGUGACCACGAGUUACCGAGGUGCCGAAGGGAACCGUGAAACGUGCCGCCUGGGAAGUACGGUCGCAAGGCUGAAACUUAAAGGAAUUGGCGGGGGAGCACCACAACAGGUGGAGCCUGCGGUUUAAUUGGACUCAACGCCGGGAAGCUCACCGGAUAGGACAGCAGAAUGAUUGCCGGGCUGAAGACCCUGCAUGACUAGCUGAGAGGAGGUGCAUGGCGUAGACGUCU